AGUGCUUGUGUGGGUUGUUGGUGUACAAAGACAUAAAAGAUGGUUAUAAAAAUAAAUCUUGUUUUGCAACCCAGAACUCAUUGUUCAGCAUGAGUUUUGGUGCUUAUAAGACACCACCUC
RNAcentral lists this small nucleolar RNA (120 nucleotides) under Nannospalax galili (Upper Galilee mountains blind mole rat). RNAcentral's name for it is "Small nucleolar RNA SNORA40 (ENSNGAG00000007197.1)". It matches the Rfam family "Small nucleolar RNA SNORA40". From Rfam's summary of the family: The snoRNA ACA 40 belongs to the H/ACA family of snoRNAs and guides the pseudouridylation of 28S rRNA subunit at position U4565. NB This family has a high threshold value to exclude a large number of closely related sequences that do not appear to have conserved H and ACA boxes, and may be pseudogenes. Lineage: Eukaryota; Metazoa; Chordata; Mammalia; Rodentia; Spalacidae. The record is from RNAcentral.